Molecule: long non-coding RNA, 1828 nt
Filed under: Drosophila guanche
Lineage: Eukaryota; Metazoa; Arthropoda; Insecta; Diptera; Drosophilidae
Source: RNAcentral
GCCAGUUUCAAUAGUAUCUUAGCAGUCAGCUCAAACACUUUCAUAGCAGCCAGCCUUGACUCGAUUGGCCUGUGUGAGUUUGUUUCGAAGCCGGCAAAUUCUAUGGAAUGGAUGUGAUAAAUCAGAGUCGUUCCAACACAGAGCUGCAUAGCCAAGACAUUUAGAUGGAUCUGCCCAGAAGAUAACUGCCUUCAAUUCUGUAUUCACAUGUAUUACGCUAUAGUACAGUGAAAUGUUUUUAAUUUUAUUCAGCAAUAGCAAAAAAAAAAAGAUUUUUGUAAAAAAAAAAAUGCUUAUUAAUAGCUUAAAGAAAAAAUAUCUAGCAAAAUACUAGUUUUUUUUUACAAUUAAAUGUUUUCAAGAUUUUAUGCUUCAGCGAUAGCUCUGAACCAGGGACCGAAUUCAAUGAUUAUUUCUAGGGGGUUUCAAUCGCAAAAGCACGCACAGGAAUAUUUAAAAUUUGUUCCAUGAACAUGCUUAUGCAUAUGGCUUGGGAUUUUUUUUACAAUUUGAAUUAAUAAUUGAUUUCUGUUUCGAAUGCCAGCGACUAGUUCCUUGACGAUGACUGAUCCACAGGGAUCUAUGUGAAGAUUGAUAUCAAAUAUUUUAUAGACCCUGCAAGAACCAUUUUUACCUAUCAUCGGGGCAGAAAUAGAGCCUUCUCACGCUCUCUUCAAAAAUGUUAUCUAUAAUUAAUAUUUACAAUUUGUUGAUUCAAUUUUUGGGUUUACUUAAAAAAUGGAUACCGAGGCUCUACUAUCAAAUAUUAGUCUUCUCAUAGAUGCCUAUGCCAGAGUCAUCAUCCGACGAGUACAAUGUUCCUGCUCUGUCUGGGCUUUAGUUAAAUCUUACAUCUAUUAUUAUUCCUUGAGCAAACAAAUACAAGUCAAGAAAUAAUAUUUUUAAUGUAAUUAAGUUUCUUUUACCACCUACGAGCACAUGAAUAAUUAUUGUACAUUUUUGUUUUGCCGGUGAUUAUUGAUACCCUCUUCAAGGGUACAAUUAAAAUUCGCAUCGUAAUAACGAUCGAUUAAUAUCCGAUUGCUUUCAUGAUUAAGACUAUGGAAAAUACAAAAUAUUGGUGGCUAAAUAUUACAAUUUGGAGCAGCGCAUAUCUUUGCUGCAAUACAAAAUAGAUACAUAAAAAAUGGCAUCUUGAAUGCCAUUAUCGGUCGGUCCGGUCCCUGCUCUGCAACCGUUUCAUCGAUCCUAAAUAUCUAAAUAUACAUCCAUAGAAUAUCAUCAUUUAUAUAUGGAGUCAGUAAUGCUAACUAUUAAUAGUUAAUUGUUCAAUUGCAAUGCUCAAUUCGGUUUGGGCUUAGGCUUAGGCUAAUAUUAAAUAUUAUUCGUAGCUGAGAAGCGAUUUACAAUUGUUAAAUAAAUUAUGUUUAAGUCUUAGAUCGAGUAAAUCUGUACAAUCUGCUUAUUACAAAAGAUUCGCUGGCUGCGGAGGGGGGCUGCCACGGGUCAUCGGGGCCAUGGAACCUCCUCCAAGUCUACGCUCUAUCAUACAUGUGGCUGCCCUUCACCUUAAUCUUAGGUUUUCCGGUCAUCCUUUGCCAUUCCGACCGCAGUGCCUCCGCUGCCCCCCCUGAUCCACAUCCUCCACCAGUUCCAGUUCCCUCUGACACUUCAAUCUGGCCUCGAUCGCCUCGCUGCCUCGAUCCGUACGUAAGCCGGAGGCGGACCAGCGAGAAUGGUGGCGGAGAUGGCGCGUAGGGGGGCAUGGGCAUUCCGUCUUCGUCAGCAUCGACAAUGGCAUCGACUGGAGCAUCAGGCUGAUAUUAUUGAGCUCCUCCCGCUGCCGUUGCCUCCUUGGAAUCGCCAG